GACGAACGCUGGCGGCGUGCUUAACACAUGCAAGUCGAACGGACGAGUGAGAUAAGUUUACUUAACUCACAAGUUAGUGGCGGACGGGUGAGUAACACGUGGAUAAUCUACCUGCAACACCGGGAUAACGCUGUGAAAACGGUGCUAAUACCGGAUACGUUCCCUUGUGCGCAUGUAUGAGGGAAGAAAGCUCAGGCGGUUGCAGAUGAGUCCGCGGCUGAUUAGCUAGUUGGUGAGGUAAAGGCUCACCAAGGCGAUGAUCAGUAGCCGGCCUGAGAGGGUGAACGGCCACACUGGGACUGAGACACGGCCCAGACUCCUACGGGAGGCAGCAGUGGGGAAUCUUCCGCAAUGGGCGCAAGCCUGACGGAGCAACGCCGCGUGGGUGAAGAAGGCCUCGGUGUAAGACCGUCUAUGGAGAAGUACAGUGAGGUACCGACUAGGAGGAAGGACCACGGCGUAACUACGUAGCCACGCAGCCGCGGUAACGGAAGUAGUACGAC
This 503-nucleotide ribosomal RNA is filed under the name uncultured bacterium. RNAcentral describes it as "bacterial SSU rRNA". It matches the Rfam family "Bacterial small subunit ribosomal RNA", at positions 28 to 539 of the family's 1533-position model. The record is from RNAcentral.